CUUCUCUCUCCCCGUUCAUUGGCAGGGAAAGAUAAAAGGACGCGCGGGGGGGGGGAGGGGGAGGCAUGUAGGGUGUGUGGGGGGGGGGCUCGAUCGGCUCCCAGCUUCCCCUCCGGGUGCACAACGCACUGCCCUUUCACCCACCCACCCACAGAGAGAGAGAGAGAGAGAGAGAGAGAGAGAGAGAGAGAGAGAGAUUUCCAAAUUUCUCUCUCCUCCAAAUCUCAGGCUUGGAGGCCGUUUCUGUCUGCUCGAUCUAUUCCAAGCAACGUCUCUCCCCCACCCCCCACCAUACCCACGCACUCCUCUCUCCUCUUGCUUUAUUCGAGGAGGUUGCAGAAGCGGGGAAGCAGGGGCUGGAGGAGCAAGCACAAGCACGCGUUACUACCGGCUUGCUUUGACAAGAAGCCGCCGGCCUGCACACAUUUCCCGAGCUCUCGGGACCGUCUGAAUAAACCAGGGGCUGUGCCCGGCUUUGCGCUUCCUUGGGAGUAAAUUCCGCCGGACAAAAGAGGGCUGUGAACUCGCCUCGCGCCCCUGCAAGUUCAAACUCCCCAAGGUUUGGUGGAUUCAGUGCUGCGCGUUGGAGCCGCUGCCCUAAUGGCAGGCAAACUUCCGCCCCGCUCGGAGUGACCUGCCAGACGAAGCCCCUUGGAGACUCGUAUUCUGAAUGGAGGCCGCAGUAAUCUAGGAUCAAAAGCAGGAAGAGCCUAUCAAAGCAAUGCAAAACACACCACAGUCUCCAAGGAAACUAUCUGGUGGAUCACAAUACAGGAUUCCAGAGAUGGUCCCUCCUUUUUCACCUGGCUCAGGGCCCUGUCUUUCCUUUCUUCUCACCCGCCCUUCAUGUUGCUGAUCCUGUUGGUCACUUGGAUUUAAAAAAAAAACACUUUUCAAGAGAGCAACCUUCCAUCAAGUAGAAAUCUUCAUUUGCUUUUGCCAAGGAGAAUGUAAAGCAACUGCGAAACAAGUCCAAACAGUUUUGAUCAAAGAUGAGUAUGACAGCAAAAUACUAGAGUUUAGAGAGUCCCGUUGUUCCCAGAUGUAGAAAUCACUGCCAUCCAAUGAUGUUGGCUAGGAUGAGCAUGUUUCUAUUGCCAAACAAGGCAUGGUUUUUCUACAUGGACAUAAACAAGUAUCUCACGAGAUAAAUCUCAGCGCUAUGGGAUGACUGGUACCAGCUCAGAUUCUGUCUUCUACACAAGGACUACAAUUUCAGGAAACCAUUAUAUAUAAUUGCUCUAGACUGAAAGGGGCAAGAGCAAUUCAGCAUCAUCAGAGAGAAGCACAACUGCAGAUGGAAAACUCUUUCUUUGCUCCCAGAACUGGACCACCUCCCUCUGAUGCUGCACUUCUUUCACGAGUUGAGACCAGCUACUAGAGGAGCACAGCGGAAGAAAUACAUUUGUGAGAAACAGGAUACAAAACAUGAAACACAGUGCAAUCUUAGAGAAAGACACUCCACUGAAAUGAAUGGACUUAGGUCAGUGGUGGGAUUCAGCAGGUUCACACCUCUUUGGCAGAACCGGUUGUUAAAAUGGUAAACAAUGCAGUCCAAUUUCACUGCACUUUGCAGCUGUGCAGAAUAGCAAAAUCCACUUGCAAACAAUUGUGGCAGUGGACUGAAAAUGCAUUCUUCUGCAUGUGCGGAAGGGGGCUUAGACUGGAGUAACUCUCUUUAGAAUUGCUGGAUAAAUAUGCAGCUCUUUGUAGGAUGCUGGGAAGUAUACAAAUGGGGAGUCAAAGUAGCAUCUGCACAACCUGGUCACACCACAAAAUCUCUCCCAUUUGGAAUUCAGUGAAAUCUGCCCCCCCCCCCCCGCUCCGCCCUGCCCCUUUGGCAAAAUUCUGGGUAAGAAUCUUUGAA
Sphaerodactylus townsendi is the source of this 1867-nucleotide long non-coding RNA. RefSeq lists it as uncharacterized. Lineage: Eukaryota; Metazoa; Chordata; Lepidosauria; Squamata; Sphaerodactylidae. The transcript has 6 exons. The record is from RefSeq and is a predicted model, not a curated record.